Molecule: ribosomal RNA, 702 nt
Filed under: uncultured bacterium
Lineage: Bacteria
Description: bacterial SSU rRNA
Rfam family: Bacterial small subunit ribosomal RNA
Source: RNAcentral
ACGUAAGAAUCUGCCCUUCAGUGAAGAAUACCCUCGAGAAAUCGAGGUUAAUACUGCAUACACCCUACGGGGAAAAGGUGGCUUUAUGCUGCCGCUGAAGGAUGAGCUUGCGCGCUAUUAGCUUGUUGGUGGGGUAACGGCCUACCAAGGCGAUGAUGGCUAGCCGGCCUGAGAGGGUGUACGGCCACAUUGGGACUGAGAUACGGCCCAGACUCCUACGGGAGGCAGCAGUGAGGAAUAUUGCGCAAUGGGCGAAAGCCUGACGCAGCGACGCCGCGUGGAGGAUGACGGUUUUCGGAUUGUAAACUCCUGUUAAGCGGGAAGAAAGUCCAGCCUCUAAUAUAGGCUGGAAAUGACGGUACCGCUAGAGAAAGCACCGGCUAACUUCGUGCCAGCAGCCGCGGUAAUACGAGGGGUGCUAACGUUAUUCGGAUUAACUGGGCGUAAAGGGUGUGUAGACGGUUGAUUAAGUUUGUUGUUAAAUCUCUCGGCCUAACCGAGAGCUUGCGAUAAAAACUAAUCGACUUGAGGGUGAAAGAGAGAAGUGGAAUUCUCGGAGUAGCGGUAAAAUGCGUAGAUCUCGAGAGGAACACCAAUGGCGAAGGCAGCUUCUUGGUUCACUUCUGACGUUGAGACACGAAAGCGUGGGUAGCAAACAGGAUUAGAUACCCUGGUAGUCCACGCCGUAAACAAUGAUCACUG